AGUGAACGCUGGCGGUAGGCCUAACACAUGCAAGUCGAACGGCAGCACAGGAGAGCUUGCUCUCUGGGUGGCGAGUGGCGGACGGGUGAGGAAUACAUCGGAAUCUACUCUGUCGUGGGGGAUAACGUAGGGAAACUUACGCUAAUACCGCAUACGACCUACGGGUGACAGCAGGGGACCUUCGGGCCUUGCGCGAUUGAAUGAGCCGAUGUCGGAUUAGCUAGUUGGCGGGGUAAAGGCCCACCAAGGGGACGAUCCGUAGCUGGUCUGAGAGGAUGAUCACCCGCACUAGAACUUAGACACGGUCCAGACUCCUACGGGAUGCACCAAUGGGGAAUAUUGGAAAAUGGGCGCAAGCCUGAGCCAGCCAUACCGCGUGGGUGAAGAAGGCCUUCGGGUUGUAAAGCCCUUUUGUUGGGAAAGAAAUCCAGCUGGCUAAUACCCGGUUGGGAUGACGGUACCCAAAGAAUAAGCACCGGCUAACUUCGUGCCAGCCGCCGCGGUAA
RNAcentral lists this ribosomal RNA (506 nucleotides) under uncultured bacterium. RNAcentral's name for it is "partial 16S ribosomal RNA". It matches the Rfam family "Bacterial small subunit ribosomal RNA", at positions 29 to 523 of the family's 1533-position model. The record is from RNAcentral.